UAUAAAGAAAAGACGAACAGCUCAGUAACUCUUAUUUUAUUUGAUGUAUUAGGAUUCUAACUAUGUUAAAUUAUAGAUAAUAAUAAUACAAUAAGAAUAAGAUCUAUCAGUUAGUUGUUAAGGUAAUGGCUUAACAAGACUAUGACGGAUAACGGUAUUACUUUGUAAUAUUCCGGAGAAGGAGCCUGAGAGAUUGCUACUAAGUCUAAGGAUUGCAGCAGGGGCGAAACUUGACCUAUGAUAUGAUAUUGAGGCAGUUAUGAGUAGUAUUUUUAAUUAUUGUAAUAUUGUAAGUAUAUAUUACAAGAUAAAUCGGAGGGCAAAUCGAGUGCCAGCAGCCGCGGUAAUACUUGUUCCGAUAGUGUGUAUGAUGAUUGAUGCAGUUAAAAAGUCUGUAGUUUAUUAUUAAUAAGCAUUGUGAGGUAUAUUGUAUGGUUAGGAGAGAGAUGAAAUGUGAUAACCCUAACUGGAUGAACAGAAGCGAAAGCUAUAUACUUAAAUGUUUUAUUAGAACAAGGACGUAAGCUAGAGGAUCGAAGAUGAUUAGAUACCAUUGUAGUUCUAGCAGUAAACUAUGUUAAAUCAUAGAUACAUUUUAAAAUGUAUUUAUGUAAAGAAAUUAAGAUUAUAUUGACUCUGGGGAUAGUAUGAUCGCAAGAUUGAAAAUUAAAGAAAUUGACGGAAGAAUACCACAAGGAGUGGAUUGUGCGGC
RNAcentral lists this ribosomal RNA (712 nucleotides) under Nosema granulosis. Its description in RNAcentral is "partial small subunit ribosomal RNA". It matches the Rfam family "Microsporidia small subunit ribosomal RNA", at positions 67 to 823 of the family's 1311-position model. The record is from RNAcentral. Lineage: Eukaryota; Fungi; Microsporidia; Nosematidae.